CCCUAGCCCAGAUUGCAGCGGCAUCCUUUUGGGUUGCGGGCGGAGCGAAGCGAAGCCCGUAACCCAAAAGAUAUAGCGGAAAGCUGGAAAUUGC
This 94-nucleotide small RNA is filed under the name Chryseobacterium limigenitum. RNAcentral describes it as "Flavo-1 RNA". It matches the Rfam family "Flavo-1 RNA". Lineage: Bacteria; Pseudomonadati; Bacteroidota; Flavobacteriia; Flavobacteriales; Weeksellaceae. The record is from RNAcentral.